This 449-nucleotide ribosomal RNA is filed under the name uncultured bacterium. RNAcentral describes it as "partial 16S ribosomal RNA". It matches the Rfam family "Bacterial small subunit ribosomal RNA", at positions 29 to 523 of the family's 1533-position model. The record is from RNAcentral.
AACGAACGCUGGCGGCAGGCCUAACACAUGCAAGUCGAACGCUGUAGCAAUACAGAGUGGCAGACGGGUGAGUAACGCGUGGGAAUCUUCCUAUCGGUACGGAAUAGCUCAGGGAAACUUGGGGUAAUACCGCAUACGCCCUUCGGGGGAAAGAUUUAUCGCCGAUAGAUGAGUCCGCGUCUGAUUAGCUAGUUGGUGAGGUAACGGCUCACCAAGGCGACGAUCAGUAGCUGGUAUGAGAGGAUGACCAGCCACACUGGGACUGGGACACGGCCCAGACUCCUACGGGAGGCAGCAGUGGGGAAUAUUGGACAAUGGGGGCAACCCUGAUCCAGCCAUGCCGCGUGAGUGACGAAGGUCUUCGGAUUGUAAAGCUCUUUUGGCGGGGACGAUAAUGACGGUACCCGCAGAAUAAGCCCCGGCUAACUUCGUGCCAGCCGCCGCCGUAA